RNAcentral lists this ribosomal RNA (449 nucleotides) under uncultured bacterium. RNAcentral's name for it is "bacterial SSU rRNA". It matches the Rfam family "Bacterial small subunit ribosomal RNA", at positions 355 to 825 of the family's 1533-position model. The record is from RNAcentral.
UGGGGAAUAUUGCGCAAUGGGGGAAACCCUGACGCAGCGACGCCGCGUGUGGGAUGAAGGUCUUCGGAUUGUAAACUACUGUCGCGAGGGACGAAGCUCUGACGGUACCUCGAAAGGAAGCACCGGCUAACUCUGUGCCAGCAGCCGCGGUAAUACAGAGGGUGCGAGCGUUGUCCGGAAUCACUGGGCGUAAAGGGCGCGUAGGCGGCCCGGUAAGUAGGGGGUGAAAUCUCAUGGCUCAACUGUGAGGCUGCCUUCUAGACUGCCAGGCUUGAGCACAGUAGAGGCGAGUGGAAUUCCCGGUGUAGCGGUGGAAUGCGUAGAGAUCGGGAAGAACAUCGGUGGCGAAGGCGGCUCGCUGGGCUGUUGCUGACGCUGAGGCGCGAAAGCGUGGGGAGCAAACAGGAUUAGAUACCCCUGUAGUCCCUGAGCGGGCUGGCAAGGCGCAU